RNAcentral lists this ribosomal RNA (1948 nucleotides) under human gut metagenome. RNAcentral's name for it is "bacterial LSU rRNA". It matches the Rfam family "Bacterial large subunit ribosomal RNA", at positions 502 to 2483 of the family's 2925-position model. The record is from RNAcentral.
CGUGAGGGAAAGGUGAAAAGAACCCCGGGAGGGGAGUGAAAGAGAACCUGAAACCCUAUGCUUACAAGCAGAUGGAGCACUAUUAGAGAGUGUGACAUUGUACUUUUUGUAGAACGGGCCAGCGAGUUACGAUAUGCAGCGAGGUUAAGGCGUUAAGCGCCGGAGCCGCAGGGAGACCGAGUCUUAAUAGGGCGACAGUUGUAUGUUGUAGACCCGAAACCGGGCGACCUACCCAUGAGCGUGGAGGACCGAACUUAUAUCCGUUGAAAAGGGUUAGGAUGACGUGUGGAUAGCGGUGAAAUUCCAAUCGAACUCGGAGAUAGCUGGUUCUCCUCGAAAUAGCUUUAGGGCUAGCCUCACUUGAAGAUAUAUGGGGGUAGAGCACUGAAUGGGCUAGGGGGUCUCAAAGCUUACCGAACCUUAUCAAACUACGAAUACCAUAUAUUACCUAAGUGGGAGUCAGACGGCGUGAGAUAAGUUUCGUCGUCAAAAGGGAAAGAGCCCAGAUCAUCAGCUAAGGCCCCAAAGUGCAGGUUAAGUGGAAAAGGAUGUGGGACUGCAUAGACAACUAGGAUGUUGGCUUAGAAGCAGCCACUCAUUUAAAGAGUGCGUAAUAGCUCACUAGUCGAGUGGUCCUGCGCCGAAAAUGUCCGGGGCUAAAACCUGCCGCCGAAGCUAUGGGUGCACGUAAGUGCGCGGUAGAGGAGCAUCGUGUAUUGGCAGAAGCGAUACCGAGAGGAGUCGUGGACGAUACAGGAGAGAGAAUGCUGGCAUGAGUAGCGAGAGGGAGGUGAGAAUCCUCCCCAUCGAAAGCCUAAGGUUUCCUGGGGAAGGCUCGUCCACCCAGGGUAAGUCGGGACCUAAGCCGAGGACUAGAUGGUCGUAGGCGAUGGACAACAGGUUGAUAUUCCUGUACUACCUUUAGCGUUAAAACGAGGCAGUGACACAGGAGGAUAGGCAGAGCGGGUUGAUGGUAGAACCCGUCCAAGCAUUUAGGGAGACAGAGUAGUGAAGUACGCUUUGUUGAUAAUUCUGAGAUGUGAUGGGGACAGAAAAUAAGUAUGGAAGCUGCUGAAUCCACACUGGCGAGAAAAGCUGCUAGGAGCGAAGAGGUACCCGUACCGCAAACCGACACAGGUAGGCGAGGAGAGAAUCCUAAGAUGAGCGAGAUAACCAUUGUUAAGGAACUCGGCAAAAUGACCCCGUAACUUAGGGAGAAGGGGUGCCUAGAAAUAGGUCGCAGAGAAUAGGUCCAAGCGACUGUUUAGCAAAAACACAGGUCUGUGCGAAAUCGAGAGAUGAAGUAUACGGGCUGACGCCUGCCCAGUGCCGGAAGGUUAAGGGGAAAUGUUAGUCGAAAGGCGAAGCAUGGAACUUAAGCCCCGGUGAACGGCGGCCGUAACUAUAACGGUCCUAAGGUAGCGAAAUUCCUUGUCAGGUAAGUUCUGACCCGCACGAAUGGCGUAACGAUUUGGACGCUGUCUCAACAAUGGACUCGGCGAAAUUGUAGUACCGGUGAAGAUGCCGGUUACCCGCGAUAGGACGGAAAGACCCCGUAGAGCUUUACUGUAGCUUGGCAUUGGAUUUCGGCAUUGGAUGUACAGGAUAGGUGGGAGACAUGGAAGCGAGUACGCCAGUAUUCGUGGAGUCGCCCUUGGGAUACCACUCUUCUGAUGUUGAGGUUCUAACAACAGGCCGUGAUCCGGCUGUUGGACAGUACCAGGUGGGCAGUUUGACUGGGGCGGUCGCCUCCCAAAGAGUAACGGAGGCGCCCAAAGGUCUCUUCAGCAUGGUCGGAAAUCAUGCAUUAGAGUGCAAAGGCAUAAAGAGGCUUGACUGCGAGAGAGACAUUUCGAGCAGGUACGAAAGUAGGGCUUAGUGAUCCGGCGGUAUGAGAGUGGAAUUGCCGUCGCUCAACGGAUAAAAGCUACCUCGGGGAUAACAGGCU